GAUGAACGCUAGCUACAGGCUUAACACAUGCAAGUCGAGGGGCAGCAUGAACAUAGCUUGCUAUGUUUGAUGGCGACCGGCGCACGGGUGCGUAACACGUAUCCAAUCUGCCCGUCACUCGGGGAUAGCCUUCUGAAAGGAAGAUUAAUACCCGAUGGCAUGCAUUUCCGGCAUCGGAGAUGCAUUAAAGAUUUAUCGGUGACGGAUGAGGAUGCGUACGAUUAGCUUGUUGGCGGGGUAACGGCCCACCAAGGCAACGAUCGUUAGGGGUUCUGAGAGGAAGGUCCCCCACACUGGAACUGAGACACGGUCCAGACUCCUACGGGAGGCAGCAGUGAGGAAUAUUGGUCAAUGGGCGAGAGCCUGAACCAGCCAAGUAGCGUGAAGGAUGACUGCCCUACGGGUUGUAAACUUCUUUUGUUUGGGAAUAAAGACGCUACGUGUAGCGUUGUGCAUGUACCUUACGAAUAAGCAUCGGCUAAUU
Molecule: ribosomal RNA, 484 nt
Filed under: uncultured bacterium
Lineage: Bacteria
Description: bacterial SSU rRNA
Rfam family: Bacterial small subunit ribosomal RNA
Source: RNAcentral